Dromaius novaehollandiae (emu) is the source of this 2203-nucleotide long non-coding RNA. RefSeq lists it as uncharacterized. The record is from RefSeq and is a predicted model, not a curated record. Lineage: Eukaryota; Metazoa; Chordata; Aves; Casuariiformes; Dromaiidae. The transcript is spliced from 10 exons.
CUUUUUUCUUUUUUUUAAAGGUGAUGAAUCUCAUCAGAGUUUCCUGCCUCUUCUUAUAGUUCAGAUUUCAAGGGGGGUUUUGAGCAGAGAGGAAAGGAAAUGGGACAACUCACAGAGCCCUAUUUUGUUAGGAUAAAGAUAUGUCUACAUAAAAAGCUUGCAUAAAAAGAAAAAAUGGGCCAGGGGAAGAGGAAACGGUUAUAAGAACAAACUUUAAAAUGAGGUCUCAGAAUGGAUUUUGGUAGGUGCCUGCAACUACCUGUUGUGACAUGAAAAGCGAAGUGACAACAAUAACUUAACUAUAGAAUGGAGGACAUGCAAAGCCAGGGAAUCCUUGUUUCGGAAUCACAAACAAGAAGCUGAAAUACAAACCAAAAGAUUACAGCAGCAGAGCAGAGAGCAGUGUGAAGCAGAGCUUGCUCAGGAACUUACCCAGGGACGGAAGGUAGAAAAAGAAAGAAUAGAAGGAAAGAAAAGGAAGAGAAGAAAUGUUACGGUUUCCCAGAGGGAAUGAUGAAGAUCAAGAUUUGAGAGGAGGGAGCAGGUCAGCAGAGGUAACAAAAUCUAUCACAUACACUCUGAUGGAGCCUAUGGCUGAUGAAGUGGUCUUGUGACUGAGCUGAUGGUAGCUGAUGACUGUUACCAUGUGUUUGCUCUGCAGAAUUCCUUCUUUGCUGGCAGAAAGCUGAACCACUUCUCCAAGAGGUCAGAUGAGAACCGAACCAGUGCGAGAAGAAAAGCUGGGAAGAGCAGGACUGCCCCUUUUGGCAUCAGCAAGCCCUUUGGUCACCUUGGAUCUCUCAUGGGAUCCACCACAAGGCUGUAGUUUGGCAAAUGAACCAGUUUAAAAAAAAAAAAAUUCUCAAGCAAUUUUCCUGCCCAUUUCACUGCAAGACUGAACAAAUAGUUGCAGCACAAAGGAGGAAGCAUCACAGCUGCUGACAUACCUGGGGUUUCUACUGACUGAGGGCAGUUGCAUGAUAUUUUUUCAUUAUUGCCACUUAGCUCUGCUGCUGUUGAUGUUUGUGGAACAAUUCCAGAAUAUCAGAGCAAAAGAAAGAAUUGAACAAUUUUUUACGCUUUCGACACUCAUCUGAUUUUUUUUCACCCAGUCAGUUUCGGUUAUCUGCAAUACCCCUGGGCCGCGGCGAACUGCAGCUUAGAGACAAGAAGUUCUUAAGCAGCUUUCUAACUGGAGAAAAUAAAUCAUCAAACUACAGACUAAACUAAACUAAAUUGACCAUUGUGUUUUUAACCAGACCUGAGAAAAUCUACUUAAAGUUAGUGUAUUCUGGUGCUACUGCAGAAAUACUCUCCCCAGACUCAGUAGAAAAUUCCCAGCUAAAUCUACUCCCAAAUAGUUGCCUACUCCUAGAACGUGCUGCAAAUCACUUUUUGGCUUUUACGAUUUUCCAUCCUCUUCUACCAAGCAUAUGGAUCAUAAUAAUGUAAAAAAGUAACUAGGGUAGUCAGAGUUUUGGAAGCUUUUGAGUAAAUUAGAGGAUUACAGUGUUUGACUCAUAUCCAAUCUAUGAGGACUUCUUUCCAGUAGCUAGGCCCUCAUCUACUUAAGCAGCCCUCUGCUGAAAGCACAUACUUGCAGAGGCCAGAAAAAGGUCCAUGCACCCUAAUGGUGCCCGUUGCUUCACCUUUCCUUGCAGCAGGGGUAGCACUGUUACUAACUGGCAGCCGAAACAGCUGAUGCUGGCGGAAAAGAGUUUGCAAACUUGACUAAAUGGGAUUUAACAAAUUGGAUUGAAUCAGGUGCAGCCAGCUGGGACUGAGGUGGCAUCCGAUGUGGCGGCCGCGUAACCGCACGGUGCGGAGCAGCGUGGGACACGAUGUGGCUGCGAGGCCGGGCAGAGUAGCUCCCCUAGCUGUCUGCUCCCAUACCUGGGCUGUUACUUGUGCACGGACUAUUUUGCAGAAUCACCAGGUGUCAUUGGAUCAUUGUCUAGCAUUUUAGGAGUGAUAUGAGGAAGCCUAGAGCAACUCCAGAAUAUCACAGAUGCAGGUGGGGUGUACUACUCCGUGGUGUUGACUGAGGUACCGGAGAGUUACCAUUUGGAGCGUUAAGCUGAACUGGGUUAAAGACUGAAUGAGCAACAUAUGCCUCUGGAAACGUUUAAAAAGAGCCAUCUUUUUCACAAGUUGUGUCCGUUGCCCCUUGCCCUGUCACCGUGAUCCCCCAAGAAGACUCUGG